This 639-nucleotide ribosomal RNA is filed under the name uncultured bacterium. Its description in RNAcentral is "bacterial SSU rRNA". It matches the Rfam family "Bacterial small subunit ribosomal RNA", at positions 232 to 885 of the family's 1533-position model. The record is from RNAcentral.
CGCGGCCUAUCAGCUUGUUGGUGGGGUAACGGCCUACCAAGGCAUCGACGGGUAGCUGGUCUGAGAGGACGAUCAGCCACACUGGGACUGAGACACGGCCCAGACUCCUACGGGAGGCAGCAGUGGGGAAUAUUGCGCAAUGGGCGAAAGCCUGACGCAGCAACGCCGCGUGGGGGAUGACGGCCUUCGGGUUGUAAACCCCUUUCAGCAGGGACGAAAAUGACGGUACCUGCAGAAGAAGCCCCGGCCAACUACGUGCCAGCAGCCGCGGUAACACGUAGGGGGCAAGCGUUGUCCGGAUUUAUUGGGCGUAAAGAGCUCGUAGGCGGUUGCGUAAGUCGGAUGUGAAAACUCAGGGCUCAACCCGGAGACGCCAUCCGAUACUGCGCUGACUAGAGUCCGGUAGAGGAGCAUGGAAUUCCUGGUGUAGCGGUGAAAUGCGCAGAUAUCAGGAGGAACACCAGUGGCGAAGGUGGUGCUCUGGGCCGGCACUGACGCUGAGGAGCGAAAGCGUGGGUAGCGAACAGGAUUAGAUACCCUGGUAGUCCACGCCGUAAACGUUGGGCACUAGGUGUGGGGCCUCCUUAACGGGUUCCGUGCCGUAGCUAACGCAUUAAGUGCCCCGCCUGGGGAGUACGG